UCCUCGUUAGUAUAGUGGUGAGUAUCCCCGCCUGUCACGCGGGAGACCGGGGUUCGAUUCCGGGACAGGGAG
Molecule: non-coding RNA, 72 nt
Organism: Ciona savignyi (Pacific transparent sea squirt)
Lineage: Eukaryota; Metazoa; Chordata; Ascidiacea; Phlebobranchia; Cionidae
Source: Rfam